RNAcentral lists this ribosomal RNA (371 nucleotides) under uncultured eukaryote. Its description in RNAcentral is "partial 18S ribosomal RNA". It matches the Rfam family "Eukaryotic small subunit ribosomal RNA", at positions 592 to 976 of the family's 1831-position model. The record is from RNAcentral.
CAAUAGCGUAUAUUAAAGUUGUUGCAGUUAAAAAGCUCGUAGUUGAAUUUUUGCUUGCCGCCGAUGUCGGAACUUCCGUACGUUCGGCGGCGUGCAUCCUUGGGUGGAACCUGUGUGGCAUUAGGUUGUCGUGCAGGGGAUGCUCAUCGUUUACUGUGAAAAAAUUAGAGUGUUCAAAGCAGGCUUACGCCGUUGAAUAUAUUAGCAUGGAAUAAUAAGAUAGGACUUUGGUGCUAUUUUGUUGGUUGAGCCUAAAGUAAUGAUUAAUAGGGAUAGUUGGGGGCACCUGUAUUGCGUUGUCAGAGGUGAAAUUCUUGGAUUUACGCAAGACAAACAGCUGCGAAAGCGUCUGCCAAGGAUGUUUUCAUUAA